Molecule: ribosomal RNA, 253 nt
Filed under: uncultured bacterium
Lineage: Bacteria
Description: partial 16S ribosomal RNA
Rfam family: Bacterial small subunit ribosomal RNA
Source: RNAcentral
UACGUAGGGGGCUAGCGUUGUCCGGAUUUAUUGGGCGUAAAGAGCUCGUAGGCGGUUUGUCGCGUCGGCUGUGAAAACCUGGGGCUCAACCCCGGGCCUGCAGCCGAUACGGGCAAACUAGAAUUCGGUAGGGGAGACUGGAAUUCCUGGUGUAGCGGUGAAAUGCGCGGAUAUCAGGAGGAACACCGGUGGCGAAGGCGGGUCUCUGGGCCGAUAUUGACGCUGAGGAGCGAAAGCGUGGGGAGCGAGCAGG